Apodemus sylvaticus (European woodmouse) is the source of this 515-nucleotide non-coding RNA. The record is from the annotation of a RefSeq genome assembly. NCBI's taxonomy places the organism in Eukaryota, Metazoa, Chordata, Mammalia, Rodentia, Muridae.
AAUGCCUCAGACCAUCAUGGGCAUCAAGAUGGAAUCACAGACACAGGCCUUCAUAUUCGUUUUGCUCUGGUUGUCUGGUGUUGAUGGAGACAUUGUGAUGACCCAGACACAAAACUCCAUGUCCACAUCAGUAGGAGACAGGGUCACCAUGAACAGAAAGGCCAGUCAGAAUGCACGUACUGAUGUGAAUUGGUACCAAGACAAACCAGGGCAGUCUCCUAAAUUGCUUAUCUACUGGGCAUCCAUCCGGCACACUGGGGUCCCAGAUCGCUUCACAGGCAGUGGAUCUGGGACAGAUUUCACUCUCACCAUCAGCAGUGUGCAGGCUGAAGACCUGGCAGUUUAUUACUGUCAGCAAUACUACAGCUCUCCUCCCAUAGUACUUCAGCCUCCUACACAAAUGUCCUCUGAGAUACUAACCAUCUUCCUGCACCACACAUCCCCAGACCUACACACCUCCCCUUCUGCCUGUAGUUUCUAUGCCGAACUGUUGACAAGAUUGGCAGAAGAUUAAU